GAUUACUUCUGAAAGUGAAUUAUGCUGAAAAAGCAGGUGUAAACUGUCCCAAUGAAACCAGGAUGCAUGUUUACUCUUCUUCAAGGCAGCCAGGGGGGAAACAAAGUUAGAAUGCUACUGGAGUCAAAUUUUAAAAAGGGAAAUGAGUAGUCCUGAAUUUUGGCAGACCAAGACUGAACCAGUAAAAUAUCUUUUAAAUUAUUUUCAUUAUUAUGUAUAUAUAUUACCUUAUUAUAACCCAAAGUUAAACAUUAAAUAAUGACAUUUUGUCUCCUCAAAGUGACUCAACCUUCAAAAAGAAUGAAGCUUGCAUAUAUUUAUAUCUAUAUACUACAUAUACACAAUGAAUAUAUAUAAUAUGUAUAUAUUAUCUGCUUGUAUUUUUUCCUUAAGUCUACUGGUUUUAAACAAUGUAGGAACAUAAUUUUGAAAGAGAUUGAUUUCCUAAAAAGGACCAAUCACUGAAGGAGGGGUCAGAUUUCCAGACUAAAAUUAACCAAUAUUCAGCUUGUAACUGGCACAUAGUAGGUAUUCAAUAAAUAUUUGAUGAAUGCAUAAAUGAAUGAUGAAUGCUAGCUAAGAUUUUUUUCUCCCACUGUAUUGGCAAGCCAGUAUUUUCAUCUGGUUCAUGCUGUUUCUUCAAUUUAUCAAGGUCACUUUGAAUUCUGAUCUUUUCUUCUGAAGUGUUAGCAACCCCUUCUAACUUGGUGUCAUCUGAAAAAUACUACCUGUAUGAAAUGUGUGACUGAGUUAAGCUAGGAGUGUCAUGUUGGAUAUUUUCUUAAACUAAAACACAGCUGGAAAUUAUUACACAAUCUAAAGCAUACUUCAUUUCAGUCUUAUCAGGCCAGCCUUGUCCACAUUUGACUGAUUUUUCCUCUUAUCAUCCAUAACCGAUCACUCGGCUUCUUCACUAAAUUGAAAAUAAGAUGCACGAUGGAGCCUCAUGAAAAUUAGAGGACAGAAAGGUAAUAGGGAAUGGGUAAGGACAUUAUAGAAAUACGCUGUAAGCAUACAUUAUAAAUUAUACUCCAGUGCAUACCUGCUAUAUAUGCCUCAAUAGGCAAGUCUUGACAUAUAAUGUAUAGGAACAAUCUACUAUAGAUGGUCCCAUAGGGCAGAUGUAAAUUCUCUAAUACAUUCACAUGUCCUCUUUCACAAAAACUAGUAGAAAAAUAUCGUAUUGCUGAGAGCUUAAUUCUCAAGUUCCAUAACCAAUUCACUAUUUUGUUACCAAGAAAGCUUUUAUUUAAAUCAAGAAAGAGUAAUAAUCUCUCAUUAUAUUAAAUUCAAAAUAUUUAGUCUUCUAAAAUGCACACAGCAAAAUUUUUAGUUUCUUUAAAAAAAAAUAAAGAUGAAUAGUAGGAGAUAGGCCCAUCAUGGCUAUAUGUGCAAUAUGAAGGAAAUAACCAAGAUAAUUAUUCUAGUAAUUUAAAAUAAAAUUCUCUUUGCCUAUUUAUUUAAUAAAUGAGGUAAAAGUUGCCUCAUUUGAGUUUAUAUUUAUGGACCCAUGUCACCAUGGAAACUACUAAAAGCCACUGCUCAAAAAUUAGUGGAUUGUAUCUACAUUUUGAUCUCUUUUUUAUUCUUAAAUUCAAAGAAUACUCUUAAAUUUUCUUCCUGUUAUAGAAGAAAAUAAAAAGUACUGCUUACUAACAUACCAAAUAAUUAAAUUUUUUAAUUUUUAUACUAUGUGCCUUUUUUUGUUUGAGGAAACUAUGAAAAUGUAGGUAAAAGAUCAACAUUUCUGUGGAAUAAGUUUCUAAGAGAAUUCCUUUUGUUUACAUAACAAAGGAAAAAACAUCCUUCUAAUGGUAAAGACUCCACUCCUAAAACAUGUUUAAAAUUCCAGUAGCGUGAUAUGUUUUAAUAGCUCAGAACUGCAGUGGCAACACUCCCUUUGAUCCAUAAGUGGCAGUAUGUGUUUGUAUGAGGAGGUACAGUAAGCAGUGUGAAUUCCCAAUGUUGAUGAUGAUCUGUAUGUCACAGCCUUCAUCUCCAACAAUGCUAUAUGCAAAUUAGUGAUAGCUUCAUGCCAGGGUAGAACACCAUUCACAGAGUAAUUGCCAACAUUUUUCCCAGUCGUUCUAUACAUGGAACAAAAAUAAUAACCAUUUAGGGACCUAUUUCUAUAAAUUUGCAGAAUAAAAACAUUAUGUUGUACAUAUUCUUCACAUUAGUUUUAUCACAAUUAGAGAUGUUCCUUUUGGAUAUAUCUUUAAUAUUAUAUAACAUGGAAUUUUAAUACCCCUUCAAUAUUUACUCUGCGUUUUUUUAAACAUUUAGAAAUUUAACAUAGUUUAGUGUAUGAGAACUAUUUGAAAUAAAAUAAAUUCUGUUGCAAAUCAUUUGAAAAUCUUUAAAUGCCAUGAAAAAAUACAUCAUGAUUAGUUGUCUGAGAAAUUACUCUCAGAUUCUGUGGGAGUACAUAGAGCACAAAUGUUUAAAUGAAUUUUUGCUUCACCUAGAAGUGUUUGCUGUUUCUGGGCUUUUCUUUUGAUUUCUAAGAGGAAUAGUACACAUGGAACUGAGCAGGAAUAAAGGAAGGGAUAAUUGUUUCUAAUAACAAGAGCUUAAAUUGUUAGGGAGGGAAAUUUAGCACCAGAUUUUGAAAGUCUAUCAAAUGAGAAACAGGUACUAAUAGGCGAAUUAGAAUCCUAGAAAAUUUCUAUUAUAGCAUCUGUGGGCUUUCCUCAUUCCAUUUAUUUUCUCUCGUUUUAGAAAUGUAGUAGUACAUACCCCUCCUUUUCAGCUUCACGUGUGAAACUGAAGCAACUGCUUCCUCCAUACGCAAAAUGAUUUGUAAAUGCAUUCUGUGAAUAAAACACAUUAAACGCCAUUUGCAUAUAGUACGUUAACACAUGUGAAAAAUGGUUCACACAGUACAUUAGGAAAGGAAUAAACAGAAAUGACUUUAAAAUGCCUGCUAUAUUUAUAACAAUUUAAAAGAUAACAGAGCAAUGAAUUUCAGGUGCAUUGGACUUAAUUCAGUGACAAUGUUUUCUUUGGAAGUCCUUAUUUAUUAAUUUUUUUUGAAAUACUCCUUUGCCAAUUGCAUUGCUAAGCUGCCAAGAUUUUCAGAGCUGACCAGGAGGUGGAGAGCUCAUGCAAAUGAGCUCUUCUCUGCUGGCAGCCCACAAUGACUGAUUCAAAAGAACACUUUAACUUAGAAGAUGAGUCUGUGCUGAGUAUCACCAGCCAGAAACCACACCAGUGUUCUGUGUUAGGUGGAAGGUUGCCUUCAAAAUAAUAUUUUACCUUCCAAAAUUCAAUGGCUCUGUUUCCGAUGAUGGAAGAAUUCAUUUCCUUCAUUUUAAAGUGGAAAUCCCCAUACACUUAAAACCUCUCUCUGUUUAAAUAAAAUUUCUAGGCACUGUUUCUAUUUCCCUCAACGUAUAUAACACCCAUUAACAGGAAUAUAUAUGUACAUCUUUAUUCCCAGGCAGUCUGAAUUAUAUAUGGUUGAGUUUCAGUGUUUAAUAAUAUAUUGAAUCUGAAAAAAAAUGUCGAAAAAUACACUGUGUGUGCAACCCUCAAAGUUUUAUUAGGUUUCCUAGUGUGAACUGGCACACGAUGUAAUUUUCAAGAAUAGUAUAACGGGAUAUGUUGAAUUGGCAAGACGCAAGUCCAGCAGUAUAUUAUAACAUCGUCAUUUUACCUCAGAUUCUGGUUUCGUAUACACUUCCGCCUUUAGUAAUUUACAUAAACAUGCAUAGUCUAUGAAUUAUGCAUAAACCUUAUUUUAAAUGCAGAGCUUUCAACUCUCUCAGUGCACUAGUAUACACACCCAUUUGAUUGGCUCUGCCCUGUUUUCAUUACUCGCAAUUUCUUGGAACACAAAAGAGGUUGAAAAGGCUGACAGGAAUGGACAGUAUUUUUUUCUUGUGUGUAGGGGAAAUAUUUGUUUCCUUUUCAAGGCAAUUGGUGUUGCAAAGUUUUGCCUGUGAUUAUUGUUCCUAGCUGUUAUUUUUUUUCCAAGGAAGAAGGCAUUAAAUGUCUGAACCUACAAAACAGCAAUCAUAAUCAGCUCCUUUAUUUUUUUAUUUUGAAAGGAUGCUGCAGAAAUUGUUCUCUCUUUGACUAAAUCUGAGCAUAUGGCUAUAAUAAAGAAGCAACUGUUAGAUUUUUGGGGAUACCUCAAUCACACUUGAAAUAAGUGGGUAAUCCUAAAUCAUUGAUGGAAUAGUUAGACAUCUAGAAAAUAUAAAAGAUUUAGCAUUGUAAUUUUGUUUAUUCACGUAGGAUUGAAUAUCCCGAUUAAUGUACACAUAUAAUACAUCAUCUGCAUUUGAGACAUUGUGUCAUUACUGUUGUCAUAUCAACUCUAUGUGAAUAAUCUAUACAAUGAUAUAAGGAAGGAGAUUACAGACAUUUUUUGCUAAAAUGAUAGUAUAUUAAAUAAAAAAACAACAGAGGCAUGUGAACAGAAUUUUAAUAUUUUAUUUCUCUAUUAAUCACCUUAUAUUUUAAUAUUUUUAAUAUUAUAGUAAAAAAUGUUGUACUUUAAAAAUAGUGUGAACUUUCCAUUCUCUCCUUUUUGGAAUUUACUUCUUAUUCUUUCAUUCUUUUCUUCAUUUUCUCUUUAUAUACCUCUAGAACUUUGUUCCUUUUUGUCUUCUCUGCUUUUUUCCCCCUCUUUGGCAUAACUUUCCUUUUACUUCAUUAUUAACACAUUGAUAGACAUUAUUCAUCAAAAUAUGCUUGAUAUUAUCUUCCUUUUUAUUAAUUCUUUCUUUUAGCUGAAUCUUCUUAACAUCUAAUUAAGCUUUUAUGAGAAUUUCUUUGUCUUGAUAAAUUCUCUAUUAAUGCUACAGGAAAAUGGAUAUUUGGUUUAAGUGAAAAAGGAGGAGUUUGUGCUACCAAAAUUACUUGCAGGAGUAUAACCUUGGAGGAUCACACAAUUUUGACUUCGUUUUGUUGCAGAGAAUUACCAAGUUCUUCCUUUGUGGCUUUACAUUAGAGAGGGCUACUUGGAGAUUAACGACCAAAAGGAGCCUUUGAGGUCAUUUAUUCAUGAUUUUAUGCAUAGCUUUAGUGUAGUGAGCAUCCGUUCCACAGUAAGAGAGUUAAAUACCAAGCAAAGACAUGUGAAGCUGAAAACUUAGGUUUGAAUUUAGUGCCUAGAACUCAAAGGGGCCAGAAGCAAACUAAAAGUAGUAGUACACUUUGCCUAAGGAAGAUGAGGCAAUUUGCUUCAUUGUUCAUUCUGAAAAAGAAAACUGCACCUGGCAGAUCUUGCUCUGCUGAUUUAGAAAAAAAGACACAGAAAAGUUUGAAAAGCAUAAGCAGAACUAGUCAACCAUGUUACCUUGCUUCAGAGUUAUUCAAAAGUUUAAAAUUAAAACUGCUGUCUGUGUCUGUCUGUCUGUCUAGCUAUCUAUCUAUCUAAGCUUUUGUAAUCAUAUUUGGUAGUAAACAACAUAUUUCUCUUUAAAUAAUAAAAUCUUUGCUUUUUUAUAUUUUAUUUUGUAGUCUUCUCCUUUUUUUUGGCCGUACCCACAGCAUGUAGAAGUUCCCAGGCCAGGAAUCAAAUCUACACCCCACAGUGAUCUGAGCCACUGCAGUGACAAGCUGGAUGCUUAACCUGCUGUGGCACAAAGGAACUCCUUAUAUCUGAUUUUCUUUGGUUUUACCAAAUGACUAUAUAUGCUUUUAUUCCAAAUUAAGUAACAGGAAAAAACACUCAGAAGGAAUUUGUAGUCUAAUCACAAGCAAAAUUUUCAUAAUAUUUGGACUCCCUAGAAAUACGUAACUUUGAGUAAUAUGCUCAUAUCCACUCAUUCUGCAAUAAGCCUAGUGAAAAGGGGAUUCUGUAAGUAGGGGAGAGCUUUCCUAUCUUGAAGCCCUUGAUCUUGCUUCCGGUGGCCAGUUGGCCUACAAUAGAAUAGGUAUAUAACUAAAACUCCUGAAGAGAAAUCUUUGACUUGGGAUUUUAUGACAAU
RNAcentral lists this long non-coding RNA (5942 nucleotides) under Sus scrofa (pig). Its description in RNAcentral is "lncRNA (ENSSSCG00000052426.1)". Lineage: Eukaryota; Metazoa; Chordata; Mammalia; Artiodactyla; Suidae. The record is from RNAcentral.